CUGUUUUGAACUCUGAAAAUAGAUAUUCUAUAAUGCCAUUCUUUGGCCAUGCCGUCUUAGUAAAUAAUGGUGCCUGGCUUUAUUGCAGUGUGAUCUGUUUAGCAUGGAACCAGGAACUUGAAGCUGCAUUUCACCACCAGGCCAAGUACGGUCAAAACAUGAGAGGGGAAACAAGCUCAGAAGAAAAAGGAAAGAGACAGCUGAAAAGGAAAAUUCACCAGCAUCAAUGACUGAUGCAUGGAUGAAGCCCAGCACGGGCAGCUUUCCUGACGAUGCUGUAGUCGAAGCUACAGGGACACCUCCACCAGAACCGCCAAAGAACCAGGAAUCUGCUUUGAGACCUUUAACAACGCUAACACAAAACAGCACAAGCAGGAGCGCCGGCAGCUUUUCUGCCGCCCUAGGCAGCGGAAGGUCCAGCCCCGAAAUGCCGCC
Molecule: non-coding RNA, 435 nt
Organism: Chrysemys picta bellii (western painted turtle)
Lineage: Eukaryota; Metazoa; Chordata; Testudines; Emydidae
Source: RefSeq, a predicted model, not a curated record